GGAGGGGUGACCGAGUGGCCGAAGGUGCACGAUUGGAAAUCGUGUGAACUGAAAGGUUCCGAGGGUUCGAAUCCCUCCCUCUCCG
This 85-nucleotide transfer RNA is filed under the name Deltaproteobacteria bacterium. Its description in RNAcentral is "tRNA-Ser". It matches the Rfam family "tRNA". From Rfam's summary of the family: Transfer RNA (tRNA) molecules are approximately 80 nucleotides in length. Lineage: Bacteria; Pseudomonadati; Myxococcota; Myxococcia. The record is from RNAcentral.